Molecule: ribosomal RNA, 426 nt
Filed under: uncultured bacterium
Lineage: Bacteria
Description: bacterial SSU rRNA
Rfam family: Bacterial small subunit ribosomal RNA
Source: RNAcentral
GAUGAACGCUAGCGGGAGGCCUAAUACAUGCAAGUCGAGCGGUAGAGUGACUUCGGUUGCUUGAGAGCGGCGAACGGGUGAGUAACGCGUACACAAUCUACCUUUAAGAGGGGAAUAGCCCUGGGAAACUGGGAUUAAUGCCCCAUGGCAUCACGAGACGGCAUCGUUUUGUGAUUAAAGCUGAGGUGCUUAGAGAUGAGUGUGCGUCUGAUUAGCUAGUUGGUGCGGUAACGGCGCACCAAGGCGACGAUCUGUAGCGGGUCUGAGAGGAUGAUCCGCCACACUGGGACUGAGACACGGCCCAGACUCCUACGGGAGGCAGCAGUGGGGAAUUUUGGACAAUGGGCGCAAGCCUGAUCCAGCCAUGCCGCGUGAGUGAAGAAGGCCUCGGUUGUAAGACGUCUUCGUCAGGAAGAAACGGACGAA